UACGUAGGGUGCGAGCGUUGUCCGGAAUUACUGGGCGUAAAGAGCUCGUAGGUGGUUUGUCGCGUUGUCCGUGAAAACUCACAGCUUAACUGUGGGCGUGCGGGCGAUACGGGCAGACUGGAGUACUGCAGGGGAGACUGGAAUUCCUGGUGUAGCGGUGGAAUGCGCAGAUAUCAGGAGGAACACCGGUGGCGAAGGCGGGUCUCUGGGCCUUGCCUGACGCUGAGGCGCGAAAGCUAGGGGAGCGAACAGG
Molecule: ribosomal RNA, 253 nt
Filed under: uncultured bacterium
Lineage: Bacteria
Description: partial 16S ribosomal RNA
Rfam family: Bacterial small subunit ribosomal RNA
Source: RNAcentral